This 700-nucleotide ribosomal RNA is filed under the name Pantoea stewartii. RNAcentral's name for it is "bacterial SSU rRNA". It matches the Rfam family "Bacterial small subunit ribosomal RNA", at positions 30 to 722 of the family's 1533-position model. Lineage: Bacteria; Pseudomonadati; Pseudomonadota; Gammaproteobacteria; Enterobacterales; Erwiniaceae. The record is from RNAcentral.
GUGGCAAUUGCGGCAGCUACACAUGCAGUCGGACGGUAGCACAGAGAGAGCUUGCUCCUCGGGUGACGAGUGGCGGACGGGUGAGUAAUGUCUGGGAAACUGCCCGAUGGAGGGGGAUAACUACUGGAAACGGUAGCUAAUACCGCAUAACGUCGCAAGACCAAAGUGGGGGACCUUCGGGCCUCACACCAUCGGAUGUGCCCAGAUGGGAUUAGCUUGUAGGCGGGGUAACGGCCCACCUAGGCGACGAUCCCUAGCUGGUCUGAGAGGAUGACCAGCCACACUGGAACUGAGACACGGUCCAGACUCCUACGGGAGGCAGCAGUGGGGAAUAUUGCACAAUGGGCGCAAGCCUGAUGCAGCCAUGCCGCGUGUAUGAAGAAGGCCUUCGGGUUGUAAAGUACUUUCAGCGGGGAGGAAGGUGUUGAGGUUAAUAACCUCAGCAAUUGACGUUACCCGCAGAAGAAGCACCGGCUAACUCCGUGCCAGCAGCCGCGGUAAUACGGAGGGUGCAAGCGUUAAUCGGAAUUACUGGGCGUAAAGCGCACGCAGGCGGUCUGUUAAGUCAGAUGUGAAAUCCCCGGGCUUAACCUGGGAACUGCAUUUGAAACUGGCAGGCUUGAGUCUCGUAGAGGGGGGUAGAAUUCCAGGUGUAGCGGUGAAAUGCGUAGAGAUCUGGAGGAAUACCGGUGGCGAAGGC